Long non-coding RNA from Bradysia coprophila, 493 nucleotides. The record is from RefSeq and is a predicted model, not a curated record. Lineage: Eukaryota; Metazoa; Arthropoda; Insecta; Diptera; Sciaridae.
AAUUUUUGGUAACGCCUCUUAAGUUGUAUGAUUGCGAUUGACCUUCUUCCACAUUAAAAAUAUCGGCAAACUUUGUUGUCCACCUGAACCGGUAAAAUGUCAUAUGACGUGGGUUAAAACAUAAUUAUUCGUUUAUGCAGAAACAGUGGUAUAAUUCGUAUUGUUUGUAAUUAUUGGUGUACAACCGACAAAUGGACAAAAUAGUCGAAUUGUUUUGGAAUUGGAUUUCAGUUACACAGUCAGAAAAUAUAUACACACAACACGCCAGUCAAUAAUUCAUUCUUAGUCAAAUUCUAUUUAAAAAAAAAAGAACGAAAGAACUCAACACGACUUAUUGGGAUAAAAAUAAAAGGAAAGAGAUAAGACAAAAAUGAAACGAAAAAAAAUAUUCUUUUUUUUCGAAGAUCGCUUGAUGUUUUUAAAAUGUGUUUUAUAUCAAUACCUAUUAAAUGUAUCCAAUUCAAAUAAAUCAUAAAAAUAGAAAUUUGAAUAA